GCGUGCUCCGGGCGUCGGCC
Molecule: small RNA, 20 nt
Filed under: Arabidopsis thaliana (thale cress)
Lineage: Eukaryota; Viridiplantae; Streptophyta; Magnoliopsida; Brassicales; Brassicaceae
Description: Ath_wt_08453
Source: RNAcentral